GAGGAAAGUCCGGGCUCCACAGGGCAGGAUGGUCCUUAACGGGGACCGGGGGCGACCCCAGGGAAAGUGCCACAGAGAGUAGACCGCCCGCCAAGGCCUGGCCGUGGCGUGGUAAGGGUGAAAGGGUGAGGCAAGAGCUCACCAGUGCCGGCGGUGACGUCGGCAGCUCGGUAAACCCCAUCCGGAGCAAGGCCAAAUAGGGGAGUGAUUGAGGACGGCCCGUUCGAGACUCCCGGGUCAGGCUGCUUGAGGCCAUCGGCAACGGUGGUCCUAGAGGAAUGAUCGUCGCUUCGCAGCGGGCAACUGCUGCGGGGUACAGAACCCGGCUUA
Molecule: RNase P RNA, 330 nt
Filed under: unidentified bacterium SM-A04
Lineage: Bacteria
Description: partial RNAase P
Rfam family: Bacterial RNase P class A
About the family: Ribonuclease P (RNase P) is a ubiquitous endoribonuclease, found in archaea, bacteria and eukarya as well as chloroplasts and mitochondria. Its best characterised activity is the generation of mature 5'-ends of tRNAs by cleaving the 5'-leader elements of precursor-tRNAs. Cellular RNase Ps are ribonucleoproteins.
Source: RNAcentral